This is a non-coding RNA of Pelobates cultripes (western spadefoot toad), 131 nucleotides long. NCBI's taxonomy places the organism in Eukaryota, Metazoa, Chordata, Amphibia, Anura, Pelobatidae. The record is from the annotation of a GenBank genome assembly.
UAUAUUCUGGCACGGCUAGAUUUGUAGUAGAUAAGGAAAUAAAUGUGUGUGUGUGUAUAAUAAAUUAUAUAAUUUAUACACACGCACGUUUAUUUCCUUAUCUACUACAAAUCUAGCCGUGCCAGAAUUUG